CCGAGUGAGAUGGUUUGUCAUUAAUGACAUGUUAAUAUAUAGUGAAACUUAUUAGAACUGGAAUUUAGUAAAUGAUAUACAGUUUGAAUUUGAAUAAUGUUUAUACAGUAUUAGUAAGUCAUUCUCCUAAUUAUUCAUAAGUGAUGGAUUCCUGAAAUUUGAAACGAAUUAUUACAGAAUUUCAUUAUACAGUAAGUCUGAAAAUUCAGACUAUUUGGAGGUUUGGUCCAUCCAGAUUCCCAGCAUUAUUUUAUUUUUAAUUUAAAGAGUAAAGAAGAGAUGAACAGGAGGAAAAUUUUUUUUGAUUUAUUAACAAAUGCACAAUGAUUCAUUGAUAAAUGAAUCAUUGUGCAUUUGUUGAAUGAUUAUUUUUGUUCUAUUUCUAUGACUUCUGUUGCAGCUACUGCAUUGCUGAUUAUAAACCAUGUGAAGAUUUGGUGUGAAACUUACGUGUUUGGAGGCUGGUGGAUGGAGCUGAGUUGGAGCCAGUUGGUUCUGGUUGGAGUUGUGGCAGAGAGGAACCGCCAUCUUGGAGUUUUGUUUUUUUAUAGACUGGUGUUUAGUUUAAAAGUUGGAGUAAUAAUU
RNAcentral lists this long non-coding RNA (585 nucleotides) under Androctonus crassicauda. The record is from RNAcentral. Lineage: Eukaryota; Metazoa; Arthropoda; Arachnida; Scorpiones; Buthidae.